UAGUUAGUUAGUUUACUUAACAUCAACUCUGUUUAACCUUAUUAUAAUCUAGUACGUUUAAGUUUCCAUGUUAGUAUGUGUUUAUGUAUGUAUGUUGGCUUAGUAACGCACCGACCAAAGGAUAGGUCUUCCGCUGUUAAUAAUCAAGAUUAAUUAACCUAAUAAAGAUGCUUAGAGGCCGGGGCGUUACAAUAUCACUCUCGAAACCUACUCAUUAUCGGGUUUAAGUUGAAAUUAGAUUCCAUAUGUUUUGUAUGCAGUUAAUUUGGGUCGUAUAAUUUUUAGUUUCGAUUGAAUAUUAGGUUGGACUAAUGGAGUUCAAUUCUUGCAACAAAAAAAUUGUUAGUCUUAUCCGUGAUUUUUUAACUAGGUAGUUAUUUCUUAAAAGUGUAUUUUGUAAGUAGCUUACCAAAAAAAUUCAAUUCAAAAUGAAUAUGACUCAAAAAGUUUCAAAAAUCAAAUAAUUGAUGAUAAGUUGAAAUUAUAAUACUGUAUGAUAAAAUUACAGACCGAAAUGAAUUAUACAUUAGAUGUAAUAAAAAAAAUAUGUUUUUUAGGAAUUGGGGAUGGCUUAAUUUGAAAAAAGAAAAUUCCACUAUCUACGUCGCAUGGUACUCUGGUGCGUUGCAAAAGCACAAUUUACGUCGGACCAUCUGGGCCCAUCCGACGCAUCAGCACAACCCACUUUUUAACUUAAGCCCAACUCAUCCCUUUCUAACAUAAACCUCCCAAUCCUAACCUAAAACUCCCCUUCUCUCUCUCUGAAUGCCGCUCACCUCCCCUUCCUCAAUCUUCCUCCCCUUCUCCUUCUUGUUCUUUGAAACUUCCUUUAAUUUCUUUUCAUCUUUAGGAUUCAACCAUGUCUGAACUCUCACAUGCAGAAGUUUCUACAUUCUUCUUAAGUUCCCCAACCAUCGCUCAAAAAUACAAAUCAAUAAUCUGGCGCAUAAAUCGAGGCUAAAAAAGAUCAAACUCAUUCCUAGAAACCGAAAUCAAAGCAAGAGAAUCGACUGAAAAUCGAGCAAAGAUUUGCUCCAUUUUCAUUCACCGAAGACGAACGCGCAUCGAAGUUCGUCCUUUGCGAGAAGUUGAUUUGCUCCAAUCUAUCUAGUCCGUUCUUUGGAAUUCAUUCAUUGCGAGAAGUAGAGAUCCACAACUUCUAGGUUCGAGAAGUUCGUCCUUUGUUUGUGAAGCUUAUUUUGCCGGCGGUUUUCUCCCCUGAAGGUUGAUGGAAUGGGAAGUAUCACAACACUCCUCAAUUUUCAGAUCUACCCAAAUCCUCCGACAGUGUUGCGAAAUGCCGCUGUAGAUUAAAUUGAACAGCUCCUUGCAUCCUCGGCUUGCCUUCAAGUUCAUGUCAGUUAUAGUUGACUGGGGUUUUUACUGUUGUGUCUAUUAUUCAAUGUUCUGUUUCUCCACUUGCGAUAUUGUGUUGCUCGUUUGGUUGGAGGUUCUGAGGAGAUAUCUAUGGUGAUGAUGGAUUUUUGUUCUUCUCUGUUGCGACUCUGUACUGCUGCAAUUUGUUCUUUGUAGUAUGAUCAGUCUAGUGUGUUGGCCAAUAAAUUCAUUGCGUUUUUUAAUUUGCAUUGUAAAUUUCCCCCUUUCGUUGUCCUUUUCAAUUUCAAGAGUAUUUUGGAAUUUUGAUUCUAUAUAUAAUAAAUCUGUUAUCUA
This is a long non-coding RNA of Beta vulgaris subsp. vulgaris (sugar beet), 1671 nucleotides long. RefSeq lists it as uncharacterized. The transcript is spliced from 2 exons. The record is from RefSeq and is a predicted model, not a curated record. NCBI's taxonomy places the organism in Eukaryota, Viridiplantae, Streptophyta, Magnoliopsida, Caryophyllales, Amaranthaceae.